AAAAAGCUCGUAGUUGGAUUUCUGUUGAGGGCAGCGUCCGCACUUUGUGCAGUAUCUGUUUUGACCUCGCAUCCUCUUGAAGAACGAUACUGUGAUUCAGUUCGUGGUUCGGAAUUCAGACUUUUACUUUGAGGAAAUUAGAGUGUUCACGGCAAGCAAUCGCUUUGAAUACAUAGCAUGGAAUAAUAAUAUAGGACCUGGUACUAUUUUGUUGGUUUCUAGAACUAAGGUAAUGAUUAAUAGGGAUAAUUGGGGGCAUUCGUAUUAAGACGUCAGAGGUGGAAUUCUUGGAUUGUCUUACGACGAACUACUGCGAAAGCACUUGCCAAGGAUGUUUUCAUUGAUCAAGAACGAAAGUAUGGGGAUCGAAGACGAUUAGAUACCGUCGUAGUCUAUACCAUAAACUAUGCCAACUAGAGAUUGGAGGUCGUAUUUUCUAUGACUCCUUCAGCACCUUAUGAGAAAUCAAAGUUUUUGGGUUCCGGGGGGAGUAUGGUCGCAAGGCUGAAACUUA
RNAcentral lists this ribosomal RNA (514 nucleotides) under uncultured marine eukaryote. RNAcentral describes it as "SSU rRNA". It matches the Rfam family "Eukaryotic small subunit ribosomal RNA", at positions 621 to 1146 of the family's 1831-position model. The record is from RNAcentral.